Molecule: ribosomal RNA, 494 nt
Filed under: uncultured bacterium
Lineage: Bacteria
Description: partial 16S ribosomal RNA
Rfam family: Bacterial small subunit ribosomal RNA
Source: RNAcentral
GACGAACGCUGGCGGCGUGCUUAACACAUGCAAGUCGAACGGUGAAGCGCCUUCCUUUUUGGUGGGUGUGGAUGAGUGGCGAACGGGUGAGUAACACGUGAGUAACCUGCCCCCUUCUUCUGGAUAACCGCAUGAAAGUGUGGCUAAUACGGGAUAUUCUGGGUCUGUCGCAUGAUGGGUCUGGGAAAGAUAUUGUUUCGGUGGGGGAUGGGCUCGCGGCCUAUCAGCCUGUUGGUGGGGUGAUGGCCUACCAAGGCGGUGACGGGUAGCCGGCCUGAGAGGGUGGACGGUCACACUGGGACUGAGACACGGCCCAGACUCCUACGGGAGGCAGCAGUGGGGAAUAUUGCAGAAUGGGCGCAAGCCUGAUGCAGCGACGCCGCGUGAGGGAUGGAGGCCUGCGGGUUGUGAACCUCUUUCGCCAGUGAAGCAGGCCUGCCUCGUUUGUGGGUGGGUUGACGGUAGCUGGAUAAGAAGCGCCGGCUAACUACGUG